UCUGAGGUCAUAUUCCACCAGACAAAAUGCCAACAUCUGUACCAUGUCCACGAUACAGGUCCAGCUUGCACAUGAAAAGACAGGCAUUGCGGAGCAGAGAAUUCAACCUCAUAGCAGAUAGGAAACCGGAGCACGGGCCUUGGAAAUUAGAAAUAUCAACAUCACAUCUGCAGCAGAAGCCUGAAUUUUCUUGUGAGAUCUACAUGGAGAGUGCAGCCGACUCAGAGGCAUUUGCUGUGUGAGUGCACAUUGAAAAAACAAUAACAUUUGGUGGAAUAAUAGCAAAGUGUCCUCGCAGAAUUGAUCUAAAUUACGGCUUGAUUGGAAACAGAUGUAAGAGCUGAAUUCCUAAGUACAGACUACCUGAGCCACCGGAUGGAUGCCGCUCUAGUAUUAUCACAGAGGUGCGGGUCUCACACUAACCUUUGUAUGCAGAUAGAGUAUUACCCUAAAACAUUUAGCAUGCAUAGCGGUUUAUGCCACAUACCAAUUUUGUUUUAUAUGUUACCCCUGACCAGAAUUACAAGUGAAAGCGGACUUCGCUUCAUUGAAAAAGUGAGCAUGGCAAAGCUGUGACGCUGUAUGCCAAAAAUUUACCAAAUUGUGGAGAAUAUGUUUGAUUGAAAAACUUAGUCUAGACUAUCUAAAUAUAUUCUUAGCUGACAGGAGGUGUGGUCUUCCACUGCAGUAGUCCAUAUACUUUGAAGUUCGACAUCUAUAUACUUCAAAGUUGUGCAUUCAGAGAUGGUAUUCUGCAUACCUUAGUUUUGACAAAUAUUUUGUGUUAUUGUUGCUAUUCUGUCAUUUUAACCCAGUUUGCCCAUUCUCCUCUGACAUCAAUAAUUUAUUUUCAUUCACACAACUGCUGCUCACUGGAUACUGGUUUGAUCCCCACAUCCCCACAAACCCCAC
Molecule: long non-coding RNA, 912 nt
Organism: Hyla sarda
Lineage: Eukaryota; Metazoa; Chordata; Amphibia; Anura; Hylidae
Exons: 3
Source: RefSeq, a predicted model, not a curated record